RNAcentral lists this ribosomal RNA (253 nucleotides) under uncultured bacterium. RNAcentral describes it as "partial 16S ribosomal RNA". It matches the Rfam family "Bacterial small subunit ribosomal RNA", at positions 524 to 776 of the family's 1533-position model. The record is from RNAcentral.
UACGAAGGGUGCAAACGUUGCUCGGAAUUACUGGGCGUAAAGCGCACGUAGGCGGCUGUUCAAGUCGGGGGUGAAAGCCUGUGGCUCAACCACAGAAUUGCCUUCGAUACUGGACGGCUCGAGACCGGAAGAGGUCAGUGGAACUGCGAGUGUAGAGGUGAAAUUCGUAGAUAUUCGCAAGAACACCAGUGGCGAAGGCGGCUGACUGGUCCGGUUCUGACGCUGAGGCGCGAAAGCGUGGGGAGCAAACAGG